This 335-nucleotide ribosomal RNA is filed under the name Dorymenia quincarinata. Its description in RNAcentral is "partial large subunit ribosomal RNA". The record is from RNAcentral. Lineage: Eukaryota; Metazoa; Mollusca; Solenogastres; Cavibelonia; Proneomeniidae.
UGCCCAGUGAAAUUAACUAAACGGCCGCAGAAUAUUAACUGUGCUAAGGUAGCAUAAUCAUUUGUCUUUUAAUUAGAGACUAGUAUGAACGGCUAAACGAAAUUUAACUGUCUCUUUUAUAUUAAAUAAAAUUUAAUCUUAAGGUCAAAAAGCCUUAAUAUAAUAAAAAGACAAAAAGACCCCAUAGAGUUUAAUUUUAAUAUUUUUAAAAAUAAAAAUUAUAAAAUUUAGUUGGGGCAACUAAGAAAAAAUAAAUUUUUCUAUACAAAAAAAAUAUAAUUUAUCAUUAAAUUAAUAACACAAAAUAAAUUACCUUGGGGAUAACAGCAUAAAUU